GCUUACGGCCACACCGGCCUGAGUACGCUGAUCCUCGUUUCCGAUCUCGGAAGCUAAGCAGGGUCGGGCCUGGUUAGUACUUGGAUGGGAGACCGCCUGGGAAUACCAGGUGCUGUAAGCU
Molecule: ribosomal RNA, 121 nt
Filed under: Oncorhynchus mykiss (rainbow trout)
Lineage: Eukaryota; Metazoa; Chordata; Actinopteri; Salmoniformes; Salmonidae
Source: RNAcentral